AUGUCGCAUAUGAGGCUGUUUUUUCAGAGCCAGGCUGAGUGGAGAAGGAUAUGCAACGUAGGUACUAUAGUCGACGUCAACCAAACACGCCCAUAUAAUACCACAGCCAUGCACACCCGGCCCUCGGUACAUGCAUGGCGCGUGAUACAUCCAACUUAUCCCAACCUGCAACCGGGCCCAUCUUCUUGUGGGGUCCUUGCUCUGCUAGGUCAUCACCAGAGGCCCUCUUCUUGCUUGCUCAGCACCACUGACACGAUCACGCCAGCAACCUCAAAGCAAUGGAUCCAACGCCUUGAUCAGGCUACAUGA
Molecule: ribosomal RNA, 309 nt
Filed under: Triticum aestivum (bread wheat)
Lineage: Eukaryota; Viridiplantae; Streptophyta; Magnoliopsida; Poales; Poaceae
Description: partial small subunit ribosomal RNA
Source: RNAcentral